UACAGAGGGGGCAAGCGUUAUUCGGAAUUAUUGGGCGUAAAGGGUGCGCAGGCGGUCCUGCAAGUCAGGCGUGAAAUCCCCGGGCUUAACCUGGGAAUGGCACUUGAAACUACGGGACUGGAGUAUGGCAGAGGGAGGUGGAAUUCCACGUGUAGCGGUGAAAUGCGUAGAGAUGUGGAGGAACACCGAUGGCGAAGGCAGCCUCCUGGGCCAAUACUGACGCUCAUGCACGAAAGCGUGGGGAGCAAACAGG
Molecule: ribosomal RNA, 253 nt
Filed under: uncultured bacterium
Lineage: Bacteria
Description: partial 16S ribosomal RNA
Rfam family: Bacterial small subunit ribosomal RNA
Source: RNAcentral